RNAcentral lists this ribosomal RNA (268 nucleotides) under uncultured prokaryote. Its description in RNAcentral is "partial 16S ribosomal RNA". It matches the Rfam family "Bacterial small subunit ribosomal RNA", at positions 524 to 792 of the family's 1533-position model. The record is from RNAcentral.
UACGUAGGGGCUAGCGUUAUCCGGAAUUAUUGGGCGUAAAGAGCGCGCAGGUGGUUGAUUAAGUCUGAUGUGAAAGCCCACGGCUUAACCGUGGAGGGUCAUUGGAAACUGGUCGACUUGAGUGCAGAAGAGGGAAGUGGAAUUCCAUGUGUAGCGGUGAAAUGCGUAGAGAUAUGGAGGAACACCAGUGGCGAAGGCGGCUUCCUGGUCUGCAACUGACACUGAGGCGCGAAAGCGUGGGGAGCAAACAGGAUUAGAUACCCGGGUA